UCGCCCGAAUCGGAAGCCCGAGGGUGUUAUGAAGCGGUAGUUCUGGACACCUCACCGGCGCGGGGCGGGGUGGGGGUGGGGUCGCACCUCCAGACCCUUCUGCAACUGGCAGAGCAAAUGGAGCAUCCGGUGGUGUCCCUGUAUAGUUGAUGCCUCCGAAAAGUUUCUCCUCCGCAGCUUUUGUGUUAGCGGCUGGCACUCCGGGGCUGUCUAGGGGGUGUCUCUUGUCCCACCCUGAAAACACUUGAGGGCAGAGGGGAGUUUUUCUUGGAAGACUAUGAAAGGUCCCAGAGCUAAAGCAAGUGAAUUUCCCCUCCUGGUUGGAGCCCCAGAUAUGCCUCAAACUCACUCAGCACCCACGACUGCACUGUGCUUGUGGCUGGUUUCCUCCCCUGCUUCCUCCUUCCCAGCCAUAUCUCCUCCUGGGCUGGGCUGGCACGCAAGCACCGGUGCCGAGACCUUGACGAGCUGGGCCAGAGCCCUCUGGGCUAAGAUAAGAGUUUUCCUGGCUUCCCAUAAACCCUGCAGUACUGGUUGGGACACCUUUCUCAACCUGGUCUUUACAAUUUUCCCCAGAGGAUAUAUUUGGAAUUGAUUCUGGCUUCCCCGUGUGCCUCAGUUUCCCUGCUUCCUUGCUUUUAAGUUGGUGAGUCUGAUGCCCCCCUCACCGGGGUGUGCGAUGGAGAUAAAUAACACCCCUCAAGAGAUUGUAAGCUUGAUCCGCCUUACAGGAAGUGCUGGGCUCAUCUGUGACUAGAGUGUGGGUGGGAGGUCUGCUCUGUCUACCUCAACCUGUUGCUAUUGGCCCUAUGGGAGGGUGUCCCCACCUAGGUACUGUGACUGCCCCUUCAGUGUCGAUCCGAUCCGGGCCCUCCUGUCCUGCCAGAUGCUGUACUUCCCUGUUUCCCCACAGUUUUCGGAAGCUUGGUUCUCAGUGUUGGUGGCACCUGCCUCUGCUCGAAUUGUUCGCCUGUUCUCCUUAAAGCCUUUCUCUGUCCAUGCACUAGCAAGGCUUAGAAGAACUUCCCUUCCCCAGACUUGACAGCUGGAACUGAGGAGGACCAAGCGUUUUGUUGAGUUUCCUGGCCAAGCCCUCUGCAGCCAUCUCUUUGGAGGCAGGAGCUGCAGUUCCCAAGCAGGUCACAUAGAGGUUCGCCCUUUAUUUACUAUCCAGGGCUUGUGAGUUCAGGAAAGGACUGGGGCUAGAGGGAUAUUUUGUUACUGAUUAGCAAUCUACCACAGCAACUCAGGUUUCUUUUUGUAACACUGCAUCCACAGGGCCUCCCCUCCUCACACCCCUCCUCCCCAGCUAGUCACUCAAGCUCUAGAUGCCGAGUUCCAGCUUACUUUGGGGACGGACACCCCUCUUUACAGAGCGUGCACUCAUCUCUUUGGCUUCCCCUUCCAGGGGGGAUCUGGGAGGGCCCGUGUUCUGGGCCUUGAUUUCUCCAAGUGCAUCACGAAGGAGGAGAAUCUUUGCCCUUUGGGGAACACGGGGUCGUUGGUUUUCAGCCUUGUCAUCAGUAACAGUGGCCAGGGUGAGUCUCUUCAGGACACUGCCUUGCUUGGGUGUCUCCACCUCUUUGCAGACAGUCAUGUUUUUUCUUUUGCUAGGAGGUGUGGGUCUGGCCAAGAGUUGCAGUUGCGGUAGUGAAUAAUGCAGCAGAGAAGGACCUGGCCAGACUGGAGGUUUUCCACCCCACUGGGGAUGGGUAGGGGCAGAAGUGUCAUGUUUCCUACAGACACCCCCUCCAAGUGUCCUUGCCACAAAACUCCCGCAGAUUUUCUAGUAGCCAAGCUUUGGCACGGGCUGUAGACUCAGUGUCCUUACUACAAAUUUCAGCUACACACUGGAUUGUUCUUUUCAGUUUUGUCUCUUGAAGUCAGUGGGUGGCGGCAAGGUAUCCUCCCUUGAUCGCGCACAGAAAUCCAGGAAACAAGGAAAGCUGGGCUUCCCUGUACUGGGAUCCAAAGCCUUCCUUGGCUUUGAAGAGCAGGGGGCUGAGCUGAGAGAGAGCUUAGGUGGUGGCCAGAGUGGAGUCAGACACUGGGCUUGUGCCUUAGCGCCUGGUCCUGCAUCAGCCCUGCUUUCCGUACGUGCAAGGGGAGGGAGGCGCAGAGAGGACCCCAGCCUUGUUUUGUGGCGGUCCCCAUCAGGGCCAUUGGCUUUUCUGCCAAGAAUGGCUUGAGGCCCUUGCAGUUGUCAUUUUUGCCUUCCGGUUAGUUCAGAAACAUGGAUACCUCCCUGUUCUUGAUUCCUCCCGGCUGUGCCUCUCCCCCUCCUGAGCUGGAAGUGUUACUUCCUUAUCAGUGAGCACAGAGAGGCUCAUUGAUAACCCAAUUAUCCACAGGGUCCGAACACCUCGACUCCCUCGGGUAUCUCGGGCAGCAUGGUUAAUUUUUCCUUCCCGUCUUUCUUCUGGAAGGUCAAGGGGAGCCCACAGAACCCCUUUUCUCCAGGAAGGUCCAGUGAGAUUGGCACCUGCCCACCGUGGUCCCUGCAGUUGUUGGAGGAGCCCGCCCUGGGAGGCUUGCCAGCACAUUCUGGCUUCUCUUCCAAACUCUGCUUGCCUCUGAAACUGCUUGUGGGUCUGGGCCCCGUGUGCGGUGUGUGUGUCUGGCUGCUGAGCCAGGGAGCCCCGCAGUCCUCUGUUGGGGAGCCAUGCUGCUGUGCCCACAGCCCUCUGAGGUGUCCUAGAAGGCAGUGGUGGAGGUGGCCAUCAUCUGUAUUCAAGGCAGUCCUGCCUGGCCGAGGUGGGCUUGGCCAGCCUGGCAGUGCAUAUACAAAUAGGUCUUGGUGUUGGGCAGCUGCUGGAUGGGUACUGAGCUCCUUUUGAGAUCCAGGGUCCUGCCGGCCCAAGUCAGGGCUGGGGUAUCCUUGCUGCCAGUCUCCUCCAGCUUUGCUGGCUGAGCCAAUUCACAAGGUAGAAAUUCAGCUUCCUUUCCUUUUCCCAAACCAGGUGAUUUUUUCAGACCAAUAAAUAAAAUUCCCUCUUGGGGGGGGGGUGUAGCUUAGGGUUAGAACAUUUGCUCAGCACAGUAUGGGACCCUUGACAGUAAAACACACACACACACACACACACACACACACAUACACACACGAGGCAGAAAAGAACAUGUUCAGCCAUAUUCUCCUAGCCCACUGCCCAUCUCCCAGCCCUGUGUGUGUGCCCUUCCCUCCCCCAACCCCCAUGCCCUGUGGCCCCCGUGGCAAACCCAAGUUCCAGCAAACCCGUGAGUGAAUGUCCUUUUUCUUUUCACAUUGGGCUUAAAAUGUUGAGCCACUCCACAUGAGCGGGGCUAGGUCUCUUGGUGGUGUUUUUUGUCAAUCUUGAAAGGGUGGAGUAGGGGUUGGUCUGAGUCUUUUUAAGAAGGAAGGAGCAAGCUGGUAUUGAAAAGGUCUUUCCCAGGAGGCCCCAGGGCUCCGCCAGUAAGGCUGUCUUCCUUUUCCUAAGGCUGCCACCCUGGAGCAAAGGUCAGGGGAGAUGAUGGGCGAGUUAUGCAAGCUUUCCCUCUCCUUCCGGCCUGACUCUGGUGGAGGGUGUCUGUGACGUUGCCCAUGGACCUGGGUGCUAGGUCCUCAGGGCCCUGGAAGCUCACAGGCAGGUGACCCACUCAGCAUCUCACAUUGACCACGAAGAGGUUGCUAGCUGUUCUUCCAGGAGGCUUCUUGGCAAACUGAGGCUUGGACAGGUGCUGGAUAUUGCUUUGAUACCCACAGGGCCUGCUGCGGUCUGGAGUGAGCUCCAUGGGGGAGGGGGGCACUUGAGUAGAAGAGUCAAUUUUCCCAGGGGGCUUCAGCUCUCCUCCUUGGAGUGAAGCCCCCUCUGUGUGGGGUAUGCGUUCUCCUCUAUUUAUCUUCUUCUACUGUCUCAUUUUUCUACGCCAGGCUGGCUUCGCAUCACAGUGGUCAUCCCACCAUGAUUUUGUCCCAAACCAGACCUCCGAGCUCCUGGGACACGAACUUUGUGGGUGGUCCAUGGCCAGCAUAUUUUAUGAGGAAACCCAGCCCCUACUCACACCCGUUUCCCGAGUACACCAUGCGUGUGGCAGUCAUUCACCAAAGUUCCUUGAGAGUCUUAGGCAAGCCCCUGACCCCGUUAAAUGGGAAACAUGACAGAACUCUGGGAGGAGGGAGGGCUUCUUUGAAUGACAGCCUAUGAGUGCACGAACCUUCUCUUGGAUGGAACACCCAGUGCAGAACUUAAGGCAGGGGAGCCUGCUGCUGCCCACCGCUCUGGCUCGAGGGUCAGGAGAGCCAGAGUGAACUCUGUCUUCCCUGAUCUGACCUGAUCAGUGACCUCGCUGACCCUCAGUGCCUGUUUCCUCAUUCGUAAUAUCCUGCCUCUUUUAACUGGGCCUCCAGAGAAUGGGUCUGUGACUUCAUCUGGAUACCGUUUUUUUCAUGCCGGGAAGUGCCACUUGGGAAUCGUCACCUUGGGGUGUAGGUAGGGAACCCCCUAGCCCAUGCUCACGAGUGGGGCUUUUCUGCCUGUCCUGUCUUCUUGCCCAGUUGAACAGAAGAAAAAUGGCUUGGUAGUCAAGAAAGAGCAGAAUGUGCUAAGCUCAGGAGUUGGGAACUGGAGCGUGGUGAGGAGAGGCCAGGGUUUGGUCAGUGCGCACAUGGGACAAUAACCAUCGAGGGGAUGCGGUUGUCCCUACGUGCAGGUGAAGCCCUGAAGUUCCAGUGACUCAGAGCUCAGUGCCUACGAAGGAAAAUGGUCCAGAUAAAUUCCGUGACCUCUUUAGAUGCCCAAGUCUUGGGUUGUGCUAGGGAAGGUUUGUCAGGAGCAGGAGGGCAGCUGGGAGUCGGGGUUGACCUCAUAGCUGUUCCUUAAAGCAGGAAGGGAAACAUUAGCUCGAGUUUAAUGAGCAUCUACACUCCGAAGUUCUCUGUACCUUCACAGUGAUUCAUGCCAUCUGGCGUGGGAGUGGCAGUUAAGGAGCGUCUAUGUAGUGAGUGUCCUGUAGGCUGAUCUAAGGUUAGGAACAAGAAGCUCUGGGCCUCCAGGAUGGCCUCGACUCUGGCACUGGCCAUAGGAAAGAACCUUUGCUGUAGGCUCAGUCUCCCUCCCCAGCCCCUGUCUGCCUCCUUGGACCUCUGAUUUGCAUGUUAGGUGAUCCUGGGCUACAGGGGCAUCGGGUCAGACACUUGUGGGAGAUGUUUUGUCUCUCUCCCAGCAGGAGCUCCGCCCCCAUUACAGUAGUUAGGAAGUGCACCCAAACUUCUGUUGGGAUCCAGGUCUCUUGAUCUAUGCAGGGGCUUCUCUGGAGGGUUUCGGAAAUACAGAUAGCUAGUUUUCCUUUUCCACUUGGGGACAAGGAGACCUCAGUGGAAGCCACACGGCUUGAAGACAGGAACAGAAUCCUCUCCUACAGGGAUGGGAUUUUUAAUUUAAUUUUUCUAGGAUUUCGAUGGGUGUAGUGGAGAUCCAGAGAUCCAGGGCCACAUAGUGAGACCCUGUCUUUAAAAUUAAAAAAAAAAAAAAAGAAUUUUUUUUUUUUUUUUUUUUUUUUUUUUUUACUUUAUGUGUAUGAUUGUUUUUGCCUGUUUAUAUGUGCACCGAGUGUGUGGAAUGUGCUGCUGCAAGUCAGAAGAGGGUGUGGGAUCCCCGGGAACUAAAGUUACCUAUGGUACCCGGAACCAAACCAGAGUCUUCUGCGGGAGAAGCCAGUGUUCUUAAAUUAACACAGAGCCACCACCGCUCCAGCCCCUGCCCUUGUGAUCUUAAAGUCAGGGAUAACCCCCGCCACUUCCUCUAAGCUAUCCUUCAACCUGGUCUCUGUCACAUCCUUUCUCUCCCUGUAGGCAUAUGGUUCUGGACAGACAGGGAGCUGGGUCACCUAAGGGUAGGUGCCUGGUCUUAAUGAAUCUUCUCUGGUCUCCAGCUGUCUGUGGGACAGGUCAGAAGACCUGAAGUCCUGUCCAUUCGUCAGUAGAUUUUCUAGAAGUGCUAGAAGUACUAAGGUACAGGACCCGCCCUGAAUGCUGGCAACCCUACUUCCUGGUCCCAUGUCCUGGGUCCCGGAUGGCCGGUCUUUACUGUCUUCUGGGCCAAUUCCUUUCUCCCCACUGGCAUUGGGCAGGUCUAGGAGUCCCUCUGUACCUUGCUGCAGGGUCCUUUCUCUCCCUUCGUCUCUCCCUCUGUCAGUCAGUGCUGUCCUAGAAUAGAUGGCAUUCAGUGUGCUGGCCCCUUGGAGCGGAGGAAACGCCUGGCCAGGAAGAGCCGGAAACCCUGAGCAAGCCGCGUGGAAUCCUCUGGCUCUCAACGGGGAAGCUGGGAGGGAAGGGGACCCACCCUUGGUUCUGUCAUUCCUGUCUGUCCAUUUGGGACCUGGGGUCUUGGUCCUCUUGAUUCCUAGACUUGGCACGAGCCUGGGGGUGGGGUGGGGGCGGUAUGACUCCUAAACUAUCUUUCGAAUGGCUACAAAUUAGUGUACGAGGUCUGCAAAGAAGUGGUGUGUAUUCCUCGCCCCUACAACAGCCGGGCCCUAGGUCCUCACUUCGGGACAGGACCCAGGCUGCUGGGGCUGCCUGCGACUACACACACCAGUCCCCUGAGAUGGUGAUCUGACUGGUGCUCUGGAGGCCAGGCGGCCUCUGUCUGGGCCACCACUCCUCCUGAGGGCCUGAUGGAAUUACCAUCCUCAGCUGCUAUCUGAUGGUGCCGAGUUUAGGGCGACACCGAACUUUUGGCGCACGCCUGUUUGCUGGGGCUGAAGAUGUCCGUCUGCUCCUGUUCUUGAGACCCCCUCCCUAGUUUUCUGGAAUACACAGUCAAUGUACCCUCAGAGCCAGGGAUGAGGGGCCGGUGGAAAGGCUGGGGAGUGGCGUCUCUUAUUUUAAACUGGAUAGAGCCCGGUCACCUCCCUCCCAUUUCUUCAUUUCCUCUUCUUGGCAGCAAAUGGUAUUUAUCUACCUCCAAAAAAUUGAAACCAGCCACGGCGGUGGUGGCGCUGGCGGCCGUGGUAGCGGUGGCAGCAGUGGUGGUGGUCGUGGUGGUGGUGACAGUGGUGUGUGUACAAGCUUACCCUCUCCUAGGUCAUAGCUAGUGCUGCACUCUUUGCCUUUGCGGUUCCUCACCCACUUAUUUUUUAUUUUUUCUUUUUUUUUCGGAGCUGGGGACCGAACCCAGGGCCUUGCGCUUGCUAGGCAAGCGCUCUACCACUGAGCUAAAUCCCCAACCCUCCUCACCUACUUAUUAACUGAUGAUUGAUUGAUUGAUGAUUAAUUGAUGAUUGGUUGAGGCAUGGUCUCACAGUGCAACUCUGGCUGGCCUGGAACUCACUAUGUCGACCAGGUUACUUUGCAUUUACAGAGAUCCUUCCCUCUGCUAGGGUUAAAGGCCUUUGCCACCAGACCUGGCUGAUUAGCAAGGCUGGGGGGGGUCAGGGUUGUAGGCAGAAGAGGCAGAGAGAGGGCGGUUUAAGGUCGGUUUGUGUUGGCCUCCCGCCGACCUGCGCCUUGUGGGUACCCAAGGACACAACACCAACGCGCCCAGUUGGGGGCUGGCAAGAGGCUGCGGAAAGCUAGGCCCAUUUUUCACACUGUCCGCAGGUCAGCGUGUGCCUCCCUCCCCCAACUGCUCUGUGUUAUGGCACAGAUGCAUCCACAGCACUCGUGCUCGGGACAGGCCUGCCCUGAAGGGAGUGGUAAUGGCUGUUAGGCUGUAUUCAAGGGGACAGAUGUAGGCAGGGCCAGUGGCACGGGGAGACGGUAGCUGUUGAGUACAGCCGACCCAUUUCCAGAAAUAGAACAUCCACUGUCAGGGGGUGCAUCUCUUUGUCUCCCCAAAUCUGCCUUCCCGUCAGCUUUCCCGUUGUAAGGCAAGAAGGAGACUCGCUCUUGUCUAGGAAUCAGAGGCUCCAGCGAAGCGCCCAGCUCCCCUGCCCGUCACAAGGGCCUGAUUGUGUGCGGGGCCUGAAUGCACCCGCCUGCGGCCAUGUGCGGCACCGGCUGGCCUCCCUAAUGAGCCCGCUCUGGGAGUGGCCCUUUGUGGCAGGUUCCGGCCACAGCGCCUGGGCCAAGGCUCUGUUUCCCAGCCGCUUGGCUGUUUAAUGACUCCCCGCUGGCGCUGUUGGGACAACGGGAAGCUCCCCUUGCGCCUACCCUUUCUGUCGCCCACAUUUUCGGCAGUGCGCGCACCCCACCUUUCUGCGCAUUCCAAGAUGAGGAGGGUCUGAUUCUUUUCAGCUCCUGCCCUCACUGGCAUGGCCACUCUCCCUUCCUCUGCCCUUAGGUCAGCUCCUCCUGUGGGGACACCACUCCCCCCCCCCCCAAUCUCCUUUCUUUUGUUCCUCUUGGGUCUCUCCCCAGAUCCUUCCUUGCAAACAGGCUAGUGUUUCCUUAUCCAGAGCAAUAAAACUAAACCCGUCCUUCUACUACCCUGCUCUCCUCUGUUGGAGGUGGGGAUGGGGUGGGGGCAAGGUCCCCUCGGGAUGGACCAGAGAGCUCCUGCUGCUCCCUGCAGCAGACCCUGGGAAAGGCGCCCCCCCAUCCCCGUUAGUAGUGUCUGUCCUGUAGCAUGCGAUGCCCCCUGACAGUUGUCCUCUGGAACCCAGACUGUCCCACCCCCACCCCACCCCCCACCCCCGUGCCUCUGACAGCAAUGUCAGCUCUUGAGUACUCUCUCCAGCCUGAGCUUCUGCCUUUGGUUGUCCGUCCUGGGGUUGCUGGCCACCUGCAUCCUGUGGAUCUGGGGCCCCUGCCUCUGCCCUGUGUCCCCAUACUCUCUGCCUGAACCUUGGCCAGCUCCUCUUCAAGGUCCCUCAGUUGCGGCCCUGGGCUGUUCAUCGCCCCAGCUGCUUCAGUCUAGUGUGAUUGCCAUGAGGGGUGGGGGGUGGGACAGUGCUCCUCAGUGCAGAGGCAGCCGUGUCUGGAGCCUUUACCUGGAGAUAGGGGGCAGUCUAUGGACAUCUCUGCAGACAGCGCUGCCAGUGUAGACGGAUCUCCCUCCGUUCUGCGACUCCCAUCUCGCCCCCAACAAGUUGGGACAUCUGAGUAUGGACUUGGGGACUUCAGUCCAUACCCGUCAAGCACAGUGACUUGUUACCUGGGUCCUGGGGUUUUGGCCUGGAGCCUGCUCACUGCUCAGGCACACCUCAGGCCCUCCCGUGGCACCCCUUCCCCCUGCUCCUGUGCCCCCUUCACAGAGGCUCCCAUUGGUCCUUGAGGCAAACAAGCACAGGACGUGUGACAUGUGGCCCUCAUUUGUUCUGUGUCUGUGGGAAGCCUUUGCCUACCAAGCCAGGGUCAUAGUAGGUCCCAGGGUUGCUCAUGGGUAGGAUGUGGCUGGGGGUGGCGGAGAUGUGUCUGCAGGAAACUAGAGCAUGGCGAGGGUCCCCGGGCUCCUAGGGUCCUAUCCAGAACCCAGCCAGUUGAUUGGUUCCCAGCUGAGAGCUUCUUACUUUUCAAAGGAGGCCAAAAGGGAAAGAAAGGAAACAGUUUGUGAACUGAAGGGGGUAGCAGGGUAGGGACACAGGCCAUCGGUAUGCUUCCUGCCCUGCGUUCUCUCUUGGAGGAGAGGCGGAAGACCUGCCCUGGACACUGGACACCAUUGUUUACUGACUCUCACUGCUAUUGAUUACUUGGGGUGCCCAAGGCUGUGACUGGUAAGUGGGCAUGCCUCUCUCGGGGUUAAACGAGCUGCCAGGGUCCAGCUGUGGGCCAUUGCGCUAGCUGUCUCUGGCGAUAAGUCCAUUAGACACCACACCUGAGGCUCUUUUCCCGACUCCCACCGCUCACUGGAGCCUCACUGUGCUGAGCAUGCUCCGUGCGUGCGUGUUUCAGGGUGACAUUGAAAUGAUCUCAGUGACAUAGCCUAGAAAGACUUGAUAUAGCAUCCUACAGACUGUAGGGGGUGAGCGGGACCCUGGGGCUUCCCUGAUCCCACAGCAGGUCCGUGGGAGCCUUGGUCUUACUUUGUGUGUACAACAGCACAGUUGAAGUGGAAGGAAGGGCAUCUGCUGGGAGCAGGGGCAGGCGUCAUCGCUCGUGUCAGUGUGACCCUGGACUCCUUAACUGCUUGAGUUUCCUUGUCUUCUCCCCAGGGCACGCCCUGCUCAGCUAGCCCCCUCUGCAGAGUUUCUUGAGAACAGCUAGUCCAGUCCCCCCAAGCUCUAAAGUGUGAGGACUUCUCCUGAGACAGUCUUGGGGAGCUCCUUCCAGGAAUGUGUGGUCAUGAGGCCCUGAUCCAUCUGCUGGUGUCCCCUCCGUGGGAGGUGGUCCCCAAAGCUGGCACCUCUUUGAUCUGCAGACCCCUGGCCCCACCCCACAACUUAGUGGGAGCUUGUCUUGUCCCACUGGUGCUAGCCUGGUUGUGGGCACUGUGACCAGCUGCUGAGGCAGAGGCCAGCAGGAGUGAGAGCCUUGUAGGCCCGUCUGUUGCCCGCCAGGCUCCUUGAACUCCAGGCGCUCCUGGUAGUCAGGGAUUCUGGAAACAUUCAUAACUUUUGGGGUUAUCCAGGUUACCUGCUGUCUAGAUCUGCUAGGGCAACCUCAGGGGCCCUUUGUUGGGGGAAUGACUUCAGCAUAUCCCCCACAGCCCAUCUCCCGCCCUCCUCCAGCUCCUGAAAAGUCUGUUCCUUGUCCCAGGGACACAACCAAUAGCUUUCAUCACCACGUGUCUCAGAGCCAAUGAAGAACGCAGUUCUGGGGUUAGUGAGCCCAGGGCUUUUUAAAAAACAGAAGUCAACCGGAGUCAGGAAGCCCUCCCGAGCACAGGGUAGGAAGUGGAGGGGCGCAAUGAGUGAGGCAUCCAGGUAUCCUGAGCUGGCAGAACAUCCUGGGCGUCCUAGCGGGCCUGGUGUACGCCUGUUGACUGACAAGCUCUUCACCACCUGUCCCCAGAGACAUGGUGUGUCUCUUGAUGGGUAGUGGUGGUGGUGGUGGUAUGUGUGUGUAUGUAGGAGGCUGUGUUUUCAUGUACACACCCACACGCUUCUUUCUCCUGAUUGUCUUUCCCCAGUCUCCCCAGCCUCCGUUACUUAUCCGUGGGUUGGGAUGGUCCCAUAGGUUCUCUGGUGCCCAGAGACCCUUGAGGAGCUCAGGAUAGAUAGAUCCAGAAGUCCAAACCUGUCCUAGUUUUCAGCCUCACGUAGGUGGCUGCUCCCAGAUUAGCCGCUUUCUCCGUCUAGACAAACCAGUAGUAUCUUAUUUUCCUUCAUUCUUGUUUUGGGUCUUAAGGACUUACAGUAGCUGCGGCUGAGUCUCUGCUCUCCAGCUGUCACUUUCCAAAUGCUUAGCCAGUUGGGGGCCUAGUCUGACCCAGAAGCAGCAGCCACGGAUCGAUCGGAUCGUUUACUGCACCCACACUUCUUGGAGGAGUUGACUUACCCUGCCCUCCCUCCUUCCCUACUGGCAUCACCUGUCAACUUCACAUCGCUGCCCCAAGCCAGCCAUGGGAAGAAAGGGGAGGCUAGGGACAGGAGACUCGUUUGCGUCUUCUUAAGAAAACUUUAUUUCUGUGCACAUCAUUGUGUGUGCAGGGGUGGGGAGUGUGUGUAUGCACACGUGUGUGUGUUUGCAGUGGGGAGCAUGUCUGUGGAGGUUGAGGACAACUCUGAGGAGUUACUUUUCUUCUGCCAUCAUGGGAUUCGAGGAUUGAACUCAGGUGGUCAGGUUUUCCAGGGGAAGCCCCUUCACCGGCUGAGCCGUUCCAUUGGCCCUUCCUUUGAAUGCUGACCUUGCCCUUGUGCACCUGGCCUCUGGUGACUUUCUGAGGUGUUAAUGGCCUCCUCCCCCUCCUGUUACACGAAGCUGCCUUGGCUGUUGUUUCCCUAGGUGAAAAAGAGAAGCCCAGGAGUGGCAGGGCUAGCCUGAGGGGCAAAGAGAAAGCUCGAGCCUCCCAUAGACACCUUCACCUUUGACUCCAAAUGCUGCAAAAUUACACCAGUUCCCUCUGGGGCAUACAGGACCCUGAGCGGAUUCCUAAAGCCUCAGCUAGUACUGAACUGUCUGGUUUUGUGCGUGUGUGCUGAUGAGGGAUAUGGGGAGGGGUGUGUGUGUGUGUGUGUGUGUGUGUGUGUGUGUGUGUGUGUGUGUGAGAGAGAGAGAGAGAGAGAGAGAGAGAGAGAUAUGAGGGAGAUGGGGAAUGGGUGGGUGCCACCUUUGCACAGUGUGGUUCCCAGGUGGGAUUCCUAUCAUCGAAGGAGAAACACGGGGUGGGGGUGUGGAGUGAGACGUCACAGGGCUCACAGCCAAGUGUUUAUAAAACUCACUAUUUUGAGGAUUUUCUACAUAGUGUCCUUGGGCUCUGGUCAGCUGUGGACCACCAAAACUGCGGAGAGUAAAGCCCUAAAAGAGAGAUGACUGUACCCAGGGCCACGUGCAUUUUGGGUCUCUGCACGCAGGAAGCAGCCUGUCUCAUCCUGCCUUGCCCUUCCCUCCCCGCCCGUGUGUGUUCAGCACAGACGCCGGUUUACCCUUCAGGGGCUGCUGAUUGGCACCCAAUAUAGUGCAGGCAGCAGGCCUUGCUUUGGGGAGGUGGUGUGGGUGUGUAGCCGUGCGGGCAGAGGCAGCUGGGAGGGCCUGGUAGGGGGCUGGGUCACCUCAGGGAGGCUGACUUCACUGUUGUUCAAGUAGCCAUCUCUGAUGGGGCUGUACGUGAGGGACUCUAGAGUAGUGGCCUGCCUGCUCCGCUGUCCUACUUUUGCAUAUUUGGAGGAGCGUGUGGGAAGGCUGGAAGCAGACCCUCUGGCAUUCUGGGGAAUCUGGAACAGACUCUGUGGGCCUCUGUUUGCCUCUGACCUCGUUCUGAGAAGUGUGGCUGCCUAGAGGUGUCUGUCCAGGCCUCUGGAGUCUGUAGUCCUCACUUUGGGCCUUUUCCUGUGGAACCUCAAAGACUACAGGGUGUGAGGCGAUGCGGCCGUGUUGGGUGGGGAGGGAGCGCUCUUCCGCCCCAGACUCAGCUUUUUUACCGUAGAGUAGACAGACUCCUUUAUAUCUGUGUAUGAUUCUGGUGAACGAACACCAAGUGCUCACGCACAGGUAGGAGCUUGUGAGGGUCAGGAGAGGUCAUAGGAUUCCUGGAAGCUGGAGCCACAGGUAGCUGUGAACCGUCUGACAGCUGGACAUGGUGCUGGGAACCUCUUUUGCAAGAGCAGUUGUUUUCUUUCUUUCUUUCUUUCUUUUUUAAAGACGUAUUUAUUUUAUGUAUGUGGGUGCACCGUAGCUGUCUUCAUCCAUACCCGAAGAGGGCAUCAGAUCCCAUUACAGAUGGUUGUGAGCCACCAUGUGGUUGCUGGGAAUUGAACUCAGGACCUCUGGAAGAGCAGUCAGUGCUCUUAACCACUGAGCCAUCCCUCCAGCCCCCCGAGCAGUCUUUUUCUUAACUGCUGAGCCGGCUCCCUGUCUUCUGAAGUGGACUCUUGGUUUGUUUCUUCUUUUUCAAGACAGGGCCUUGCUAUAUAGCCCUGGCUGUCCUGGAACUCACUGCGUAGACCAGGCUGGCCUCGGGCUCACAGAGAUUCCCCCUGCCGUUGCCUUCCCAGCUGGGAUUUAAUGGUGCAGAUGCAUCACCACUCCUGGCUUGAGGCAGACUCUUGACUUAAGUGAUAUCUGAGGAUCUGGGCCACCGAAUACUUGUCUGCAGUUCCUUGAUUUUUUUUUUCCCCCUUUUAAAAACUAAUAAGAGAAUUUACAAGCAAGAUCCUGCCCCAUCCGAGGUGCUGGAGGAAGCUGUUCUGACCGCCUGUCAGUCAGCCUUGGGUGUAGAGGAGGCUCUGGGCUGUAGAUGGUGCCUCCUGACUUACACAGGAUGAGGGUCUUGGGCCUUCAAGGAGGAGGCCGACAGGACAUGGGAAAGUAGGGUGUCACCCAAGGAGUCCCUCUUGGAAUGCUGGGCUGUCCUGAGGCAGGGCUGUGGGAGGUGAGCCAUCCUAGUCCCAUUGCUUCUCCAUGUCUGUUUUACCUGUUUAGAGGGCCCUGGGAGUCAUACAGCCUGUAGCAGGCCUGGCGGAGGAUUUGUGGGCCAGGCGGAGUGGAUGUCAGCUUUUGCUCUGCCCCAUCCUCCCCUGUUGGCACCACCCCACCUUGUCCCAUCCAUAGGAACGGGCAACACCCCUGGUCUAACCUGGGGCCUUGCUACAGGUACAUCUUCCUUUAGUCAUGGGGUCUUGAUGGAAGGAGCAGCGGGUGGUCCACGUGUGAGUGUGAGAGGGCCUUCUUUCCAAACCGGCCUGCAGUCGUCAGUUGAGGGCUCUGGGAAGAGGGGCCGUCACCUGCCUCAGUCUGGUGAAUGUUCACACAGGGGACCAUGGGUUUCACCUCACACUCCUGCUCUGGUGAGUUCCCAGGUGUGGGUGUUUCUGAGUCCCCAUACUGUGUGCCUCAGUGUCCCCACCUCAGGAGCGGGCUUUAGUGUUUCAGUGCCCUGACCUUCAGAAUUCUGGGUCAAGCCUGCUCCAGUGGCCAUGCCACCUGCCGUGGUAGCUGUGGAUGGCAGAUGGGAUCCAUGUGCCUCGGGUGCUUGCUGUGGUCUGGUUCUCUGGUCCCCAAGCUGCAUCCUACUUGGCCAAGCGUGGGAAGACAGAUGGAGGGCUGUCUCCAGUGUGGAAAGAGUAAGAGUAAGGCACCGGUCUCUGUUGGAGCCCUGGAGGAGCUAGGGACUUGGUCUAUUCAAGUAGGCUUCACCUACUCUUGUGCUUGCAAGGCACCUCCUUCUUGAGGUUCAUUGGUCGGGCCCCCUGAAGUUACCUGCAGACCAGUCUGUCACACACACCCGGGCUUCGGAGUUGCAUGGUGUGGGUAUCACUCACGAUGGUGGAGAGCGAGAUGGAGACAGCCUUCUGUCCAACUGCUGCCCCCCCCCCCAAACCCCAUGUCCCCAGUGUCUCCUCAGGCGGUGACCCAGGGAAGAAGUGGCCCAGGCCUGGGAACUCAGCUGCCUUCCUGCUGUGCUUGGAAUACUGGCUUGGUUUUGUCAUGCUGACUUGCUGGGCAGGUCCCUGGUGAGUGCUGACACUCUCGUUUGUCACCUAGGUUUGGGAGGGCCCUUGCACCUGGGCUCUUGCUGUGGGGUUCACCCGUGUGGUCCCAGACAAGCCACACGGAGCCAAGUGCCUCAGUCUCCACCUCCGUACUUAGUUCUGUCAUUGGGCUGAUGAGGACCGUGGACAAGAUGUGGGGGGCACAUUGACAUCAGCCUUCAAAGCUGAGACACCGUAUGAUUUCCCCUUCACUCAUAGGGGACCACGAGGCAAAGAGAAGCUGUGUAGUCUGCUUAGAACCCCCCCCCCCGCCCCCCGCAUAGACAGCAGCAGCGCUGGGGUCUGACCUCGAACACCUGGGUCCCCUACCUAACCCCACCCGUUCUGCUUCUGUAUGCCAGCGAGCACCUUUUCCAUGGCUGACUUCACUUGCCCCUGACCGAUAGCUCUCUGUUACAGAAUGCUAGAGCAACCCCUGCUUUCCCCACCGGCACCCAGAUGUCCUGCCCCUGCGGUGGGGCCAUGUUGACCCUGUGGUGGUCGGUUAGCCUGGAAGUCCACUUACCCAGGAGGACCUGCUGUUGAACUGGAUGCCUAAGGUGGUCAUUCUUUCUGGAGGGUGGUCCUCUUCUUCCUGAGGGGCAGUGGACUCGGCAGGUCAGACGCUAGUAGAAAGCUCAGCUUCUUGACUCCACAACCCACGUGGUCGAUUUCUUCAAGUAAGUCAUAGACGCCUGUUUAUGCCUGGGAAGGGCAGCCCCCGCACCCUCCACAAGCAUGAGCGCGUGCUUUGCUUAUCCGAUAGGUGCUACUGGGUUAUCUGCCGGUGUGAUUGGGGGCCACAGUCUGGAUCGUGGAGGGGGCAAGCAUCUGGCCCCCACGUUUGUCUGGGCUCCGGGUGAAGUGGUGCAGGCAGGUGGGUGUGGUGUGAUGGUCAGAUGCUCAGGGCAUUGCCCUGGACAAGCCUCCCAGGUGGGGCGGAUCCCCCAGCUGCAGUCUCAUUUGGUGCCCUUAGGCCUCAGGCUCUCCCCUGUCCCUCACACCUGCGGCUUAUCUCCCCAUGCCACCUGCCCCUCCCUCCACAGCCCGAGGCUCACGGUAGAAAACCUCUUGGAAGAUGUGAAAAUGUUCAUUAAUGCAAGUUAGAAAUUGCUGGUAACCCUUCCUGUCUUCAGAUCCAUGCAUUACCAAGCAUUAGGGACCCUAGCACAAUGUGGAGACACUGACCCUAGACCCGCCCUUUUUGUCGUAUGAGGUUUUUUUUUUUUUUUUUUUUUUUUGCUUCUUUUUUUUUUUUUCCGGAGCUGGGGACCGAACCCAGGGCCUUGCGCUUCCUAGGCAAGCGCUCUACCACUGAGCUAAAUCCCCAACCCCGAGGUUUUAUCACCUGUGUUAGACUCAUGUGCAUAAUUCAUUUUAAUUAAUUUAAAUUUUGGAUGUGUGUGUGCAUUGUAUAUUUGUUUGCCCGUGUGUGUGUGUGUGUAUGCGCGCGCGUGCGUGCGUGUGGUGGGGGAUGUCCUGAUUUCUCUUUUCCACCUUAUUUCCUUGAAACGGUUCCCCGGAGCCUGGAGCAAGGCAGGAGGUCAGUCAGCCCCAACCAUCCUCCCACCAUCUCCGGGUGCUGGGGUUACAGGUAGGCUCAUGCACGCCCAGCUUCUUACAUGAGUACAGGAGAUUUGAACUCGUGGCCUCAUGCUUGUACAGCAAGCACUCUCAGGCACUGAGAUGUCUCUCCAGACCUCGGUAUGUGUGCAUUUUUUUAAAAUGAGCUUUUUCUCCCAGGUGGUUGUUAGACCUGGAGAUAAAUGGUGAGGGCUGGCAGUGAGUGCAGCCCGGGCAGCACGUGUCCUGGCUGCUCUCCUCCCAGCCUCUACAACAUCAGCAGCUUUCACAUUAGCUUUCACAGCGGAGUGGUGCAUUUGCUCCAGGGGAUGAGCCAGCCUGGGAUGAGCCAGCCCCAGUCAGUCAGCAUCAGCUGGAGUCCCUGCUCUGGUCAGAUUUCCUUAGUUUUUACUCCAUGCCCUUUUUUUUCUGUUGGAGCGUAUCCAGGACACACACUUCAAAGGUACAGGUUUUGCCGCAUGUGCUGGCUGCAGUUUCCUACCUUCCAUUUCUUGUCACACGCGCAUGUCAGGAUGGCUGUUCUCUUGGUUUUGAUCUCCUGAGUGCUGGGGUGAAAAGUGUGCACCGGGCUAGGAUGACCGUUUUUUACACACCAUUCUAAGUGACCGUCUUCUUGUCCUGUCCCGUGGAUGGGCCACAUCCCAGGUACCCCGGGCUGAUCAGAAGGGGGUCUCUGAGGCCUGCCACACCUAUGAUGCACUGGUCAACACCUGGGCUUCUUAGGUCACAGCUCCCCAAUCUGACAAAGCGGGCUUCAGGCAGGCCGGCCAUCUGCUUUCAACUAUGGUCACAGCCUGGUGGCACACCAGACUCCCCGGGCAUCUACUGGCCACUAGCUGUGCUUGCCUGAGCUGCCAAGGCUGAACACAAGGCCCAUGCCUGAAGCAGCCUGACCCAGGUGGACAGAGUGUGCUCUUUGGUGGAGGAGCAGGCCAUCUGUGUGCUGGCCCUGGAAUCUGGAUCUAGGCCCACUCCUUUCCCCCUCUGGAGAAGCUGGGUGCCCUCAUGUGUCAUCGUUGGACUGUUGGGAGAAGCUGGCAGGGGUUUUCGGGUGUAGCAAUGGUCUGUGACCAUUCACGAGCCUUCAUUGAUGGACAGCGUUGAAGAAGGCCAGGUGAGGACUGAAUAACCUUUUUGGUGCCAGAGUUAGGACCCACGACCUGGUGCCUGCUGAGUACCCCCUUUCUUGCUUAUCUACACCCCGGCCUCCGAGCCCCCCUUGUCUUAACCAGCUUCAUCACUCAGGUCAAAGAUUGCUGUGUUUAAAAAUAGCUGCUCCUAUCUCGGGCCAUUUCCACAGGGUCCUGGUUGCCCAUCCCCCCUCCUUGUGGCCUCUCAGGGAAGGUCGAGAGCAGCAGGUCCUGGCUACAGGAUGUUUCUCUGUGAGCCCAUUGAGAAAUCCCCCUGGAAAUCCUCCUUUGGCCCAGUGCAACCGCUGAGAGAAUCGGAGACAAUGGGGGACUUGGGAACAAAAGGCACUAUUCAUUGUUCGGGCUGCCUGAGCUGGGGUCAGUGGGUGCCCAGCUAGGACAGUCAGACCCAUGCCCAGGCCAUGGAUUUCUGCUUCCCAGGAGCUUGGCCGUGAGUGAGCUGCAUGGGGGAGGGGACGAAGGGAGCAGCACUGUUGACCCAGAUCCAAGGCUCCCCUUCCCCCAGUCUUCUCUCUCAGGAAGAGGAGUUUCAUUCAGCAUUUAUAUUCAGGAGCCACGUCCACGCGGGAAGUCACCAACGGCGAAGGCCUUGCCAGUGGUGUGGGUGGUGACCUGCCCCUGAGCUGCACGUGGUCUGGGCGCCACUGCCCUGCUUUCCCCUUCAGCCGCGUGAACCCAUGUCAGUUUGGUCAGCCCUGAACUUGGGGCCCUGGGUGUGACUGAGCUGUAGCUCUUCCAGGGCUGACAGCGGAGGGGCUCCACUCUCCCACACUGACCCUCUAAGUGGGCCACCGUGCCUCUCCUCCAGGAUGGCUACCUGCAAUCCUCAUUUUUGCCCUUCCAGAAUGUUCUUUCUGAAACAGGCCCACUCUGACCCUGGCCCUUCCAGGCCCCUUAGCUUCAGCAUCAACUUCAGACCAGGAACAAAAGUGGAGGCCAUCUUCUGUCUGCCUCUAAUUUCGUUCCUAGUCUAACCUCCCUCUACAGAGGCUUCCCUGACCCCAGGCCUGCACAGCUAAGUGCUGCCUCCUUUCCCUUGCCCGAGUGUCCCUUCCCUCACAGAGAGUCUCCCUUUUCCCCUUCUUUUUUUCUUCCUUUUCUCUUUCUUUUUUUCCUUCCUUCCUCCUUUCCUUCCUCCUUUUCUCCCUCCCUCCCUCCCUCCCUCCCUCCUUUCCUUCCUUCCUUCCUUCCUUCCUUCCUGAGCCAGGGUUUCUCCGUGUAACCCUGGCCAUCCUGGAACUCACUCUGUAGAUCAGGCUGACCUUGAACUCACAGACCUACCUGCCUCUGCCUCCUAAGUGCUGGGAUCAAGGGUGUGCCCCAUCAGGCCUGGCAGUGCUGUGCUCUCAUAAGCUUCUGUCUUGAACUCCCAGGGUGGCAAUGUAGCCUAUCACUGGUCUGUCACCCUCAGAGUGACAGGGUGAUCCCGAGGGUGGCUGGGGGUGCUGAAUUCAAGCUGCCCUGCUCUCCUGUCUCCCAGACAUGGGGGGUGGGGACGAGGUUGGAAGAGCUUGCUGACCCAGGACUGGCCACUCUGCUGACUGACUGACUUUCCGGGAACUCCCUGCUCUCUAGCAGGAAUGUGCAACUGAGAUUAAGGGACCAAUCCAGACCCCGCCUAAAUGACUUCGCAUGUGCGUGUGCCUGUGUGUUUGCAUAGGGGCUCACAGCUAGGGUGAGUCCAAGGCUAGGGUCACUCACUACACACACACACACACACACACACACACACACACACACACACACGUUCUUCCCUUUCUGAGUUUUCUUGUGUGGAGGGAUGAGUCAGUCAGAUGGACCAUGGUGGGUUGGUGGUGGCAGUGCCUAGCCUCAGACCAGCUCAGGUCAGCAGCCUAACUGGCGAGUGUCGUACCUCAGUUUCCACCUUUGUAAGAGAAUAAGCUACAGGGCAGACAGGAGCAGGUAUGUGGCUUCUCUCUCUAGCCACUCAGCUGCGGGAGCCUCCAGACUUGUUCUGACCCACAAAGACCCACAAGCAUGCUAGACUCCUGGCUGGGCCACCCCAUGCCUGCCUGUAGCAGUGUUGGCACCGAAUGUUCCCUCUCCGGCCAGGGUUCCUUUCUUCCUGGGUCCCUCAGCCAGGUGGGCUAGGGCUGGGUUCUGUGAAGGAAGGAGGGGUGGGAUUGCCCAGAACCUGGGUGGGUGCUCUAGGCUUAGGGAUGAGCCUGGGCUCAGGAUCUCCUUUGUCCUGCCCUCACCCCAGUUUCUCCUGACAGACAAGAUAAGUGUAUACAUGUUGCCUCAGUAGGCUCUUUUGGGUAGGGACCUGGAGGCUUCUCUUGGCCUAGACUGAGACAAAGACAAGAGGGAAGCUAUGGACUACCAGGAGGCUUCGGGGCUUGAUUUUGGGAAGAUGUGGAAGAGUGAAGUUGCGUGUGCGUGUACGUGUGCAUGUGCAUGUGUAGUUUUGACCCGUGCCCUAAUGGCCUGUUUUCUGUGUGUGUUAGAGUCUUGCCAGCCACACAGUUUACCCCUCCACCCACCUCAAUUACUGUGUGAGUGUGCACUGAAGUCCCCUGACCCACACACCCCUGCAGCUCCACCUGCCUCUGUUGCCGUGUGAGUGUAUAUAAAGUCUAUUCACACUUUUGCCUACCCUGAUCAUAAUGUGAGCGUGCGAGCCCAUGGCCUGGGCACACGCAUGUGCCAGUGACUGGAGUCAUUCCUCCCCAUAGCUUCUGUCUUUUUGCUCUUGACCUCCUGAUAAACGCUUGUGACUGCUGGGCCCUUGGCUGGGGGUUUAGCUCAUGUAAUUGGGAGAGAAGACAACUAUAUUUCCUUCAAGGUGGAUGUUACCCGACACUCUCUCACCUCCUCUCAACAACAGCCCCAAGCCCCAGCUUCCCUAAGCGUCUCCCUAGGGUGACUGAUUACUAAUUGGCUAGGAGGGUGUGGCAGGGCCCACAGGUUUGAGGUGGGAAGUGCUGCCUGCUUGCCUGCCUGCCUGCGGCUCCUGAGCUCUCCCAUCAACCCACAGUCCCACCGAGCUUGUGGAGGGGACGCUUUCUAGCUGUCUGCCCCAACCAUGUAUCCCAAAAGGGUCCAUGCUUAGAACCCACAGGCCUUCUCCGUUACUUAGUGAAACUGUUACCGCAGAUGUGUGUGUGUGUGUGUGUGUGUGUGUGUGUGUGUGUGUGUGUGUGUGGGAAUGGCCCUACCUAGGCCCAUAGGUGCCUCCCGGAGGUGGACAGUCCCCUUUAGAGCCUCAAGUAUAUGUCCUAAGACCUCCCUCCUUGCCUGAAGUUCUUCCCUUUCCUUGGUGCUCUGCCAUGUAGAGUGGUGGAGUGGCCGCUGCCUUCCGCACGCUAGUAUCCACAGCACGGUCCACCAUCCCUGUUGAGUCUGCCUAGCCAGCGCAGGAGGAAGCGUAGGUGUAAUUUGGAGAUGAGCUGCUCAGUCUUGCCCCUGAGCAUCAGUUUCUCAUCUGACCCUUCUCCAGAGCUGUGGCAGUAGGGGGCUGUAGGCCGUGUUCCAGCGGUGACCAUGGCUUGUUUCUUCCUCUGUGUGUGUAUGCCAAAGGCCACCUGUGUGAGGAGAGAGGUACAAACUCAAGACCAGGCCUAGCUAAGUUCUGACCUUCCAGGCCUCUCACCUCCUGCAGGGCCAGUCAGAGAGGGGAGUGUGUGUGUGCGUGUGUGUGUGUGUGUGUGUGUGUGUGUGUGUGCGCGCGCGCACGUGCACAAGCCUGGGACACUGACGUUCACUGGAGUCUAAACUCUCAGAUUCCUGGAGUGAGGCUGCUGGACCAGUCAAGCAGGCCUUGGGUGUGGCUUAUAGGAAGUUCUCAGGUGACUGGUCAGUGUGUCACUGCCUAUGUGGUUCUGUGACAGCUUGGUUCUGUACGUCACAGCAGAAAGCCCUGAGCUGGGUGGCUUGCUCACCCAGUUGUAGUCCACCUUGUUGGACUGAGGUCACUUUGUGGGGACGGAGGGAGAUAUGAUGUCAGUGUGGAGCACUCUAUGCUGAUGAAGAGACCAGUGAGGUCUAAGGCCGGUGCUGCUGAUUCUCAGAGUCUUCUGUGACAGCUUGAGUUCUGGAAAGGAGAGGAGGGGGUCACACACCUUCCUUCAGACACCCUGUUGGUUCGGCCUGUGUGAGGCGAUUCCGAGUCCUGCAGGCUCCUCUGAAGUCUGCAGCAGUGAAAGAGAAAGAGGCUAUCGCUGAAGGCAGUCUGCCGGUGCCACUUCCUUGGAAGACGUACCCUCUCCUUUUAGUGCUCCAUCGACAAACCAAAGUACAUUCUAUCGAAGUCCAACCUGGGAAACCUGUGAGUUUAUUGGACUUAUUUGCAGAGCACUAGUGAGAUAUACACAGUGACAGGGCCAGCCAUAGUUAGUUGCACAGUGAGACCCUAUCUUAAACAAAUAAACAAAUGAAGAGAAAUAACUAAUAAUUUUUUUUUUACUAAAAUAAAUCAGAGAUAGGUGGCACUUGAGGUAUGACACCCAAGAUUGACCUGUGCGUGUGGUCUCACACACACACACACACACACACACACACACACACACACACACACACAUGCACAGUCCAAAGUACCAAUUCUAGAGGAAAUGGUUUAGACAUUUGUUGACAGACCACUGGUCACCACCAAACCAGCCACAAUGAGGCAGGCUCCCCCCUCCUCCACACCGCUUCAGGGUCUUUGAAUUCUUCCCCAUUGUACAUUGGGCCUCACAACUGACUGCUAGAGACCUUGAGCUCUGAGGUCAUACCAUAACUCGAGGCUUCUCUACCUUGCCCCAAGUCCCUGGGCAGUCACUGGCUGGCUGUCACAGGCCAAACAAGACAAACAAGAGCCUGUUGCAGAAUGCUGUCCUGGGCCUAACAUACCAUCUUCCUCAGAAGAGCUAACUGCAAGAGACCCUCAAGAUUGGGCUGGUUGGUGGUCUGUGUUCCCUCGUGGAAGGAGGGGGUGGACCACUUCCUCUCGUGCUUCCCAGCCACGUGUGUAGAACUCUGCCCUAACUGCAUGUGGCUGCAUGGUCUCAGGAGGUGUUAGACGCCUAGACUGUGGAAGGGUAACCCAAGGAGAGACUUCAUCUGCUCGACUGCAGACAAGUCGUCAUCCGUGUCGGGAUGAGACUUCCCAGUGGUACAGCUGCUUUGGGGUCACACUUGGGGCCACUCUCGUGCGCUCGUGCGCGUGCAUGCUCCUGGAGGCCGAAGGCAUUGGUUCUCCCUAAAGCUAGAGCCAGCAGUGGCUGGCUGCCUGGUGUGGGUGCCGGAAAUUGAACUCGGGUUCUCUGCAAGAGCAAUGUGUUCCUCAGUUCUCAGUGAGCCGCAGCUCCAGUCUCCUACCUUGGUCUUAGGGGCGAGUGUCUCUCACAGGCCUGGAGCUUGCGAGUAAGUUAGGCUGGCUACCCAGUGUUGGGAUUACAAGUGUGCCACCAGGCUCGCUUUCUCUGUGGGUCCUCAGGAUCGGGCUUAGGUCCUCAGGCCUACAAGGUGAGCACUUUACUGAGUGGGCCAUUUCACCGGCCCCUUGGCAGCUGGCAUACGUUUUUUUAGAGCCUUGAGCUUGGGGGUCUCCAUGUCUCCCUGGGAAGCGUGUUAUGGGAGGGAAUAAGGCUCAUUAGACAGGGUCUAUGUGUCAGUGACACAGGAGCCCUGAAUGUUACACAACAGAGGCCACUGGCCCAUCAGGGAGAGCUUGUGCUAUAGGUUUCUGGUGGCUGAGGGGCCGAGAUCCUUUGCUAGGAGGAGGUCUCCAUGUGCUCCUGUGGCGGUCCCUGCUAACUGAUGACCCCCACUGCCGCUAAGGGUAGCAAGUGGUCCUACCCUGUGGAAAGCUGUGGAACAGGCAGGAUCCUAGAGUGGGACUGGUUAAGUUAGAGAGGACAGCAGUUGUGUCCCCCAAAGAGGCUGGAAAGCCUACCUUCUGCCUGCAGUCCCUGCACUCCCAAGGAAGUGUUUCCUUUCCGUGACAUCAUCUGCUUAGAGUCCCUGUUUGUAAAAAUGGUGAUGGUGUGAGAUGGCCUUGCAUCCUUCUGAACGCCUUUCCAGGCCGGUCCCUCAAAUAAGAACCUCGUCUCGUCUCGUGGAAAUGGGUUCAGAAAUAAACUCUAACCACAGGGUAGGCUGCAGUGGGGUUUGGAGGUAGACUCCAGUCUGGCUAAGGGGAUUGGCUUCUCUGGGUUGUGUUCAUGUGCCUGCCCUCCCUGCAAAUCUCAUACCGUCUUCCCCACCCCUACCCCCACCCCGCCUCCUCUUUCCCCUCAUUUCCUGCAACCUUUAGGUCCUGUACUCUUCAGUCUCGGACUUCUCUUGGCUCUGGGCUCUCCUGACUCAUCCAUGCAUGGGAGGUUCUCUGUGCUUCAGCCUGCUGUGGGGUAGCAUCGGGCUCGAGGGUGCAUACAGUGUGGGUGUCAGGGUCCUGGUACAGGAAGGGAAGAUUUGCCUGAGAUCAAAGCGCAUGGUGUUGGCACAGAGCCCAGGAAGAAUUCCCCAGGACAACUUUUGCUUCUCCUUUCAGUUUGCCCCGGGCUGGGGCCCCUGCUAGCCCUUGGCAUGCUGGUGUCAGCUCAGUUUCACGACCCACAGAGGCACAGAGGCGAGGUGGCUGCAGCCGACGCAGGACAAGACACAGGCACCCUGGUCUUAGCCUCGUCCAUCCUCCUGCAUGUGCCUGCCAGCCCCGUCUCUAAGGAUGUUUGGUUGGGGCGUUCCACACCGGUCCCUAGCCGUCCUACGGCAAGAUGGCACGGUGGAGAAUUCUAUGAAGGGAGCCGGACACGGCUCCCCAGUACUGCCCCUUGUCAGAAGCUGGGCUGCUGUGCUUGGAGAGACCAAGGUCGCGGCGGGCACUCACAUUUCCAGAAAUCUAAGAGCUUGGCAGGGCCACGCGGUGGUGCAGAGGUCCUCACUUUCCAAAGGCUCCCUGCAGAUGAAGACUGUGCUUGGGGUUAGCUGCUCUGCAGGAGGGCUGGCUGGAGACUCCUUGGCUGCUGGACACAUCAGCAGUGUGAGUGACAAUGUCUUUCUGGGUCCUCCAUGCCUCCUGAUAUGCUGGCUGCUUACCUGUCACUUCUGGUACAGGCACCAAACUCUGUCCCAGGCCUUGACUUGGGACAUCCCCCAGGGUCAUCAGGAUACCCCUGCUCCGCCAUCACUGUCAUCCCCUUCUCACGUGCUGCAGAGGUGAGGCCAUAGGGUCAGGUGGCCCGGACAUGGUCACCUCCAAAUCAAAGAGAAUGAAUUAGAACCUCACGCCCAGGCCCUCCUUUGGGUGUAGUGCUAAGUACAUUGGUGCCUACUGCAUACCGAGCUAUGCUUCUACGCACUCGGGAUGCUGUGAGCAGGACAGAGAGAGAGAGAGAGAGAGAGAGAGAGAGAGAGAGAGAGAGAGAGAGAGAGAGAGAGAGAGGUCCUUGGGAAGAUUAGAGAGAAAAGCAACCAGCCAAACAACCAAAUAAGAACUCUUUAUCCAGAACCAAAUCGGAUGGCAGCAGGCGUGGUCUUGGAAAAGGAGGCGGGCGAGCUGGGCUGAGAAGAAGCAGCGAAGCCAUCCUUGGAGCAUUUCCAGUGGGGUGUGGGAGGGUGAGGCCUUGCAGGAAUGGGGCGCAGGCCCUCCUAGCCCGCGGGGAAGAGCAAGUAACUUUUCCAAAGCUGGCAGGAGGCAGAACUUACCCACCGUGUGUCCUGUGUUAGGCCCUCCGGUUGUCACCUCCUGGAGGAUGGGACUUGGCUGCUGGCCUGCAGGCUGAGGCAGGAGCCUUGUCGUGUGCUGGUGACUGGGAUUCUGUGAACAGGACUGAGAGAGAGGAGUCGUUGGAAGCUAGGGGUAGUCUGAGAGUAGUAAUGGUGGUGACUGGGAUAGGCAAGCAUCACUUCCUGGCCCUAGGAUGCACGUGCUGCUGGAGGGGACAGUCCACUGAAUCUUAUUUUCCACUUAUCUGUCAUUUGCACGCGUGUGCGUGCAUGCUGGCCGACCUGCAGGAGUUGGUUCUCUCCUCCCAUCCGGUGACCCAGGAACUGAGCCCAGGGGGUCAUCAGGCUUGGCAGCAAGGGCCUUUACCCACUGAGCCAACCUACCAACCCCCAACAGGUCAUUUCUGAAGGAGCCUUGGCUGUUUGCUCUGUAUAGAGGAGUUCCUGAGAGGACCAAACUUUGGGGGUGCCUCUAUUCCCCCAAAGCCCUUGUGGUUUGAGAGCACGGGGCGGGGGGGCUGGAAUUAGGGUUGCAGGACCAGGCGGAGCACUGCUGCCUUGCAUGCUCUGGAGAUAGAUGGUUGUAGGACUUUAAACUACAUUUUUUUUCUUUUCUUUUUUUGCUUGAGAUAUUCCUGUCAUCAGUCAUCAGCCCUAGUUAGCUAAUGUGUAAUUCAGUUUCCCAUCCCUCUUCCUCCAAGGGCUUCCUGGUGUCGUAAAUCUUCUUACAAGGAGUAGAAAGACCAGACCCGGAGGUGCCUCGAAGCUCACUUAACCCCCGUGGGCACAGGUGGUUUUCCUGCCAGUGGAGGCCCGGCAUGCGCCCCGGCAUGCUGGUGGCAGGCGGCUCAGUUUCCUGCUCCCAGCACCCGGCCAGUGCUCUCUCUGACCACUCCCCAGAGUCUUUCCAGUGGAGCCCCGUGGGACAGCCCUGCGGCGUUGGCACUUGGCCAUCACAGCAGCCGGAGUUAGGCGCUCACUGCCAUUGUUGCUGCUGUCACGUGACUGUCCUUCUGGUGGACCUGGGUGAGGUAGACCAGGAAGAGAUCUGCCAGGGUCAGGGCUUUCGUGGCUGCCAGCCCGUGGACUGUGAUGCUGACCCUUGGGUGGUGAGCAGAAGUUUUCUAAAGGUCACCGAUGGGCUCCUUUUGUCUCUGCUUUUCCUUUCAGUUGUUCCUGCUUCCUGCUUGGGUGGCUGGGUUGUCCAGAGGGAGAGGCCCAGGCAGGUGGGCCCUGUGGGCACAGGCAGGGGAGAGGCAGGUCCCUGUACACGGUGUGUGGGGCCUGGCUUCGUGUUAGCCCCAGCUGGAGAAACCUCUAGCGCUGGGCACUGUGAGAGGAAGGGUAGGUGACUUGCCCCCAGGAAGGUGAGGAAGCUUUAGUGUCCUGGGGUCUGCCCAUCUGAGGCUUAGCUGCCCCCCGUGUUUGCAGCAGGCUCUGAAGCUUUCUGCCCCUUGCCCCAAAUUCCAGGACCAAGUGUUCUGUUCUCACUAGUGAUUGGAAAGUUUAGCAUCUAGAUAGUGGGUGACCUUGGCAACUGGAGGACCCCUGUACCCAAAGUCAACUGGCUCUCUGAGUCCUGGGAUGUCUUCAUUUCCUCACUCUUGGCUUGGUCGAGUGCAGCCCCGGUCCCAUGACUCUGACUCUGUCCGAUUGACUGUUACCUGCAGUGGGGAGCCUUGGGCCUGUUACGUGUGUUCUUAGCAGCACAGUGCAGAAAUGCCAGCACUGUCCUUAUUGCAGGAGGUUCUGGGCUGAGUGGACAGCUGCUUAGAGCUGACCUGAGACGGCAUGUCAACGUGGACAAGGGAGUGCUUUGGUCUCAGGAAGGUCCUGUCACAAGUCCCAAAUCAAAAACGCCCACUCUGGGGCUGUUGAGAUGGCCCAGCAGGUAAAGACAUUUAUUGCCCAGCUAGGUGACCCAGGUUUGAUCCCGGGACCUGCACGGUGGGAGGAGAGAACUGGUGAGUACAGGUUGUCCCCCUGCCCACUACAUGUGCACUGAGACACAUGUAUGUACACACAUGCACGCAUGCAUGCACGCGGCUCCCCCACCUGGGUUGUAGUUGGCCUGAGUGCAGAUGUGCUCUGUGGGGACUUCUGGAGGCAGCCAUAUUCAGGGAGGUCACCUGCAUCGCCUGGGAGGACACUGUCCAUCCCACAGCCCGUGUCUGAAAUGGAAGCGAGGCAGAGGGCUAGCAUAUACCCCAACAGGCUCACAGGGCUUCCCUCUUGGCUCUGGGCUCUGGGCGGCUGAAUCACCACCUCGUGUCUUUCUCGGAGCCGUCCUGGGUGUGCAGGGGUCUGAUUUUCACAGCUGUGGCUUUUGUCCCAAUGCCAGGGUCAGACCCUCAGGUAGUGAGGCAGGGCUGUCCUCAUGGUGCUUGGGGACACAGGCCCACGUGUCCCGGGAACCACGUUCAGAUUUUCCAGUGCAGCUGAGCAAACACCUUCUGGCACUACAGAUGGAUGUCAGGGUCGGCUUACGGACUUACGGACUAAAACCCCAGGGUGUGGCUCCGAGUUCCCGAUCCUGAUUUUCACCUUCUUGUGGGUAGUGCCAUCCCCAGAAUGACUUCAAGUUGGUGCCGCCCUAGGAGUGACAGCUUGGAUCUUUAGGGAUAAGGAAGAUGGACUGACAUGAACUUCAUUCCCUGAUUGUUUCAUGGAGGGUGUUUCGGGGCAUUGGGGUACACAUCUGGAGCUCCGGCAAGGCCGGGAAGGUCCCAGGAAUGGAAGCUGGACAGAUAUCCCCAACCCUGCCCAGCCCUAUGGACCCUCUGUUAGCCCUGUUGUAGUUCUGAGGCAUGGCAGAUUCUCUGGGAAAGAGACGCCUUUCCGACCUGCAGGACCCAAGUUUCAGGUGAGGUGACCAUGUAGAUCCUGUUGAGAGGACUGUUAGGGUCCCUGCCCCCCGUGGCGUGAGCUCUGCUGAGAUCAGAGGACUGGCUGGCAGCCUGACGGGAGUCACAUUUUAUCUGCCCUUUUCUCCCAGUCUGGGUCUGGCUUCCGGCCAAACCACUAAUAAUAACGCACUCGGAGUAAUCCUUACAUUGUGGGAUAUGUGGCCUGGUCUGCCCUAUCCUCUGCCCUGAGGAAGGCCCAGCUUCAACAUUCCCACUCCCUGUCCCCGCCCUCCCAUGUCCUUUGCGGGCUCCUCUGUCGACGUCUGUAGACAAGGUACAGCGGACAUUUAUUUCCCGUCAUGCUUCUCAGGUCUUACCCGGGCUCCUCUGUCAUCCAGUCGAGAGGAGAGGUGACUUCUGAGAACUGGAGGGGUUCACCAAGCGGGACCCAGGGCUCGCCCUGAGUCCUCGAAGCAGUCAGGUAUCCUGAGAUUCCAGUAGAGGAGGUGGAAGGGACUGGAAGGGACUCGGGCUCAGCCCAGAUGAGGUGGCCUUUCAGAAGCAUUUGCUGCACUUAGGGCCUGGGACCCUGACUGAAGGCUGCUUCAGUCCAGCAAAGAAGCUCGGGACCCUUUUCUGCGGUUUGUUGAGCACACAGUUUUCCCUCCAAGAAUAUAAACCCCGCCUCCAGCGGAAGAAGUGAAUUGCAAUUUCAGGCAGAGUCCCAGUCUCAGGCUGUGACAGGAGGGGCUGAAGUUGGCUCAGCGAUUCACCCUUGGCUGGCAUGGUCCAGUGGUUCCUGUUCAGCUAAGGCCCAGGUGUUGGGGGGCACUGGUGCCCCCUUUACCCUGUUAUCCACCUGAAACACUGUCUGUCCUUCUGUUCUCCAGAACAGAGGGUUCUCCUCUCUGCUCCUGUAGGUCUACCUGUGUGUGACCAUCUCAGAAUUUACCUCAUGGGCCUGUCACCAUGGACAGGCUGCGUCCCAGUGCUGGGCCAGGGCAGACUGCGAGGUACCCUGAGGGGUACAUCCAGCCCCCUCUCCACCUCACCUGUCGAUGGGGUCGCCUUCUUUGUUUCAUAGAUGGGGAUGCAGGGUGGGUUGAACUGGGGAGUAACCAGCUUGGGGCACAAGGCAGCUCUCAGGCUGGCCCCCGAAGGACUGAAGGGCUCAAAGUCUGUGGGUGCCCUUUGUAUCCUGGGCGUGUUGGUGUUAGGACAACUGACAUUUGAGGCUGCAGAUCUUGAAAGCCCUUAGUGUUGCAGAUCAUCCUGGAAUGCUCUCCAUCCACCUGCUCCUGUUACCUCAAGCCUUGGAGUUAUUCGGGCCCCUUUCUUUUUUGGUGGAGCCUGAGUUAAGGGACCAGAGUCUUCAUAUCACUGAGAAAGGAUACAGCGCCCUUCCCCCCAACUGAAUUAAGGGACUGGGGUCUUGAUAUCCCUGAGAUACAUCCCCUCUCCCCCAGAGGGGAGGAGCAAGGCAGUGCCAGGCUAGGCGCCUGUCCAGAUGCCCAAGUUUGCACAGAUGCCUUAGGAAUAGGUGGCUGACAAGAGGCAAGCGUCAGGCCAGACCCUGCGUCCGUGUGGCUCCUCAGCCUGUCUCCAGUAGCGUUUCCAGAACCAGGUGGGCAGAAGGGACAUGUGAAAUGCAAAGACCUGGGCACUCAUCCCCUCUCCACACCAAGGAGAACAAGAAGGGCUGUCUCCCAGCAGUGGGGGUAGGGAGAGGAGGCUGGAGACUGGUGAGCCUCGAAGGAGCCUUGGAUUAAAAAAAAAAAAAAUCUUAUGCUCCCGGAGACCAUUCUAUCCAGAGCCUUGGCUUCUCCAUCUGUAAAAUGGGACCAUGCUUGCCCUCAGCACUUGGGCCCGAGAUAGUCUAGGUGGCAUGCUGUGAACACCUCCUGGCACGAGGUAAGCUAGGUAGGUACUGGCAAGGGACAUUUUUGCAGCCAGCAUUAAGAGACCCGCUUCCCUUUAAAGUGGCUUUCGGGGUGAGAGCUGGGCGAGCGUGGGACCCCUUUCCUUUGCGAGACCACCGUAUUUGGCACACAGGAUAUUUGGGGCUGCGUUUCAACAGAGCGUUGUAUCUCUGAGUAGAGGCUCAAGCACCUGCGCCCCCUGGUGCCCUGAGUGUGUGCGUGGGGGCCUUUCUGCCUGUUUGGGGGUUCCCCCACCUUGUUGGUGCUUGCUUUUCUGUUUCGUUUCUUUCUGUGGGGGGUUGGCAGCCCAGGAUAGACCCCUCAGGUGACAGAACUGCCAGGUGGUGGGUUGUUUUGUGGGCACGUCCCAGGGAGCAGUGUGCUGGUCCGGGACUCGAUACGCUUGGCUUGUGUCACCAGUCCCAUCUGCAGUCCUUCAUUUACUCCAGAACUCACAUGCGCCCCAGGCCGAGCUCUCAGGUAUAUAAGGGUCUUCAGGCUCCUCUUUCUGGGAACAGUACCGCCACCAAGCCAGUUGUCCCCCACCCCCAGGCCCCCACUUAACCACACUCAGUGCCACAUCUCUGUGCCCUGGUGGCCUUGUUCAGAGACGGACCGCUCUGAAGGAAAAGGUCCGCUGGGGGCCAUGGGAAAAUAGUGUGCCCGGUCGGCUGAGUGGGGGGGGCGGAACCCACAGGGAUAUGAGGCUCUAGGGACCCCCAAGGACGGGACGGGGUCAGACCCCAUUGUCACAGAUGCCAGAGCUUUACUCCCAACUGGCAAAAUCAGCUGUGAACAGUGUGCUCGGUGGCCUGUGACUAACCCUGUGUGUGCAGCCGGUUGACUGCGUGAUCUGAGGCCAGAGGCCACCCAGAGAGGGCUGGUCUCCCCAGCUCCCUUCAAGGUGGCUGGCCGCUCCCCGCGGCAGCUGCCAUGGCACUGAUUGUUCAGUGGUCUAGAAAAUUGUGCAGGCGGGUGCCUCCUCCUCACUCUAUGGUCCUUCCUUUUCCUCCCCAAGUGUCUCCCCCGUCCUGUCCCGGGGUGUCCCUCUUGAGUUGAAACCAGUCUGUAUUCUGUAAGGAAAAAUCUAAUUUGGACGGGCAUCAAGGGGGCUUACUAUAUGGAACUUUGUUCCUAGGGCUCAAAGAUGGACCCUAGAAUAUUUGCUGUACUCCACUUGCCUCUCCCACCUAACUAGACCCUUUCUGCAGUCAGGACCCUUGAAGAUAGUCCCUGGGCACACACAGAUUUCGAGGGAAUGGCUUUAGAGUGCUGGGGUAGAGGGAAGUCUUGCUGUGUUCUGCAGCCCACAGGGCAACACUCAGGGCUGAGCAGAGGAGAGGCCUGCAGGAAAGUGCAAGGGUGUGACCCAGUGCAGUGUCAAGACCCUGGAGAGGCAGCUCUAGGGAGUGCCCCGGGGAUCGCCAGGGCACUGGGUCUUCUGUGACCUACCGGCCUUUUUUUACCCUGUGGAAGGAGGAGAGGACGCAGGCCUAGGUGUUUCUCCAGAAAGAGAGGGAGCAGCACGGGGGUCCCGGAGGUCUCACCUAUCUAACUCGUUUGUGUAACUUGCUCAUAUAAAUCACAAGUUCUCAGGUGGGAAGACAGAUGCUGCCUUCCAUGGCUGAUGGGAACAGUGCCCACCAAGGGCAUCUUGGUAAUUUCUAGAACAACCGCACAGGUACGGGCCCUUCGGUCUAGCAAGAUCACUGCCUGGGACUUUAUCUUACAAGCAGACUGGUAACCUUGCAGGAUGGCUGUCCAUAGGCUGCACCCAGGAAGCAGGGCAAUGGAGAGGCCACCACCAGAUGCCCGGUGUCCCCUCAGGGGCCUUGGCAGGAUCAGCUCGGCCCACCUGCUUGGGGUGUGUGAUUCUGCAGGCCUCCCCACCCCCUUGUCCACAGAGAAGCCUACCAGGGUUGCUGGCAUGCUGGAGAUAAGCGCGGCCCACGGGUGGGGGGGUGAUUUAUGUCUGCCGGCUGGUGAGUUCAGUACGGUACAGUUGCCUUCUGCCAGCAUUGUGGGAAGUGCGGUGCCUGGCGUCCUCCUACCCACUCUCUCACCCUCCCUCUCCCCUCCUGGAGUCUCACAGAGACACUGAUGAUGUAGCCACCCUGCUUCCCUUGGGAGCUGUACCUGCCCUCAGCCUCCCAGCUCGAUCCCGUUCUUCCUCAGUGUCAAGACCCCGGCGAAGCAGUGUGUACAUACCUGUGUGUGCACAUGUGUGCAUGUGCGUGAGUAUGCAUAUGGGCGUUUGUGGGAGCACGUCCUUGUGCACUUGUGGGUAUGUGUGCAUAUGUACUAGUUUGUACACUUCUGUGCACGUGUGUAAGGGGGGAUUUCUUGCCCACAGUAGAACUCCGGGGCACAUGUCUCUCAGGCAAGAGGGGCUUGCUUUGCAUAAACCAACCUUCCUUCCAUUGAGACCCAGCCUGAUUUCCAGGACAUUUUAGGAUAUUGUUCCUCCCUGGGGCAGUCCUGAUGCACACCCUUACUCUGGUCCUGUGUGGGCUGUGCACGGUGCCUGGAGCUGGGGGGUGUAUUUCAGUUGGAGGGAACGUUGCAUCACCUCGUGGCUGAUGCCUGGCUUAGCUGAGGGUUACAGUGCUAGCUUUGCAGCCUGGGCACUCCAGCCAGGCCCAUGUGAGCAGCCAAGCACCUCCCCCACUCCGGGCCACGGUGAUUUCUUCUGAAAAUUGGGAAGGCCUGAGGCAUCUCUUAAGCCUUUGCCCAGCCACACUGUUCUCUGACUUGGAGAGGGGUGGCCAAGCAAGUGGCUGGCAGCAGGUCCUCAGAAGGUUUGUCACCUCUUGUAGGGCCUUAGUACUUACCCGCUCCCCUCUCCUGGCUGCUGGAGCACGGGGUGGGGGUGGGGGUGGCGGCUCUUUGUCCUGGUGUCUGUGUCUCUGAGGCCAUAAAGCCCAGCAUGGAGGCUCCUGAGGAGUGUGGGUUCCAGGGCCCACCUGCCACAGGACACGUGCAGGUCUCUGGGCUCUGUGAUUUGAACUCCCUCUUGGCUGUCCCUGCCAGCCCUGCUGCAUAUCUGCAUAUUUUUAAGCUGCCUAAAUGGAGUACUGCCAAAGUUAUCUGGUUGCCAGGGUAACUUGCCCAAGCUUGCACUGUUCUAGCUCUUAGAUCCAGACGUACUUAAUUCUGCCCAUCACAACAGCAAUGGCCGUGGGAAGGUUGCCCUUGGGCAAUCUCAUUUUCUGAAUGACUUCAGAGCUUGGAGUUGGUCACAGGACAGGUCUGGGACACCCCCCACCCCAAUCCAUACACACCCCUCGUCUGCCGAGCACUAGACCUCAAUUCUGCCCCUAUGGGUGAAAGAGAAACACUCAAGGUUCAGGGGAGAGGAGGGCCCAAGGCUGACCCAGCCAGGUGAGCCUCCCUCUGCCCCAUCCUGUGGAAUCCUAUGGGUAGCCUGAGGUGGAUGUGGCACUAUGGCCUUGGCCAUCACAUUCUUGAAGAUACAGGCAGGGACCUAACUCCGGGAGGGAGGCAUGAAAUCUGUCUUCCUCUCAUGCCAGCCUUGGAUCCUGGAGAAGGGGCUGGUUCGCCUGGGCUGCUUUUUUGCACUUUCUGGGGGCUCAGGCUGAUGGGAGAGAAGGACACAGAUUGGGACGGAACUGAGAUCCUCUAGAGCCUCUGGGUGCGUCUGGUGUGAUGAGGUUGGGCUCUCAGGAGCAUGUGGGUUCUAGAGCAGGGGAAACUGGGGUGCCCACGGGGCUGCGGGGUGUGGUUUGGUGCCCUUUCUCCAGUUGCCUCUUCCGUGCCAGCUUCCUUGGCUGCAGAGUUCAGUCGUGUGUGGCUCAGCCUCGGAGAGGAGCCCUAGGAACCAAACCACCAUGCACAGUGCCUGCUGGCCCCUGCGCAGUGUGGGAUAGUCCGAGCCUUACAGUGACCGAUUGAGAAAGACAUAAUGGGGUCAGCCUUCCUAGUCUUGGGGGGGCGGGGUGGCGCGAGUGAACCCCAGAGCCCUACCCCCAACUCCCGAGGCUGAGAAGGCAGGACCUGAGUUGGGCUUCCCUUGUGUGCUGUCGAUUAGGGUGGCCAGCUGAGCCCAGGAGCUUCUGGGGGGCCUGUGUCCCUGGCUAUAAACUGGGAAGCUGAGAGCAUCUAUGAGGACGUUGUCAUGUGAGGAGCUGCUAGUGUCCUGUGUCACUGUCCGACACCUUGAUUUCCAAAGGAGAGCAAAGGGAUGCCCAGCCGAUGCAGAUGGGCAGAUGGAGGUGCAGGCCGAGUGUCAGGCGGUGGCAAAGAGCUCUCUGCCGCCCCAGCACACGGGAAGCACCAAACUGUCAUGGGCCACCUACUCUUAAUGACAUAGGACCAGUUUUGCAGGAAUAAGGGCCUGGGUGUCAGCUGGUCUUCUUAAAGCCUGUGACCUGGAGAUCAGUUCUACCUGUCUAACUUAGGGUCUACACCUGCCCUCCCUGAGGCUCUCUAGCGGCAGGUAUAAGAGGACCAAAGAUGUGGGUCCUACCGGGUGUCACAGAGGAGCUUCCUGGCAGUUGCCUGCCUCUAGCCCCUUGUAUCAGGGGUCUCAAAGGGAGGUAAGCGCUCUUGUUCUCGGAGUAGAGAUCUUGGCCCCCAGUGGCUUUUGGGCCAUUGAAAAGAGCAGUAGACCUACCUCUGUAAAUGCUGCCCUUUCUCCAGGGGCACAGGGGAGGGACAGGAAUGCUGUACCAUAUUCUGGCCUGGGUUUCCUGUUAAGGUUUGCUUCCAGUCUCAGGGUAGGAGGAAGUCCUUGCAAGGAGCAGUGGGCAGAAUGAGAGAUUCCUCAUAUUUCUGCUAUAGGUUGGAGCAUCACAGCCAGGGCCGGUACGCCAGGAUUAACGUAGUCUAGCAGGGAGUGUCUGCCCCCAGCCUGAUGUGUGCCAGCCGAUGGGAUGGGCUGUUUUUGGAAGGUUCUGGGCUGUGUUAUCUUGGCGGGACAGGCUCUGGCCAAGUGUUGUGGGGUAGGGGAGUAGUGCUGGGCAUGUCCCCUCUCUCUGUAAGUGCUUUGGACCCAGGCCCAGGGAGCUGUCGCCUGUUGGGUCCGGCUGACUUCCCAGUGCAUUGUGAUAGGCAGUAGGUAUUCCUGGACGGAGACUGGCUUCUCCCCUUGGUCUGGGGUUUCCUGUGUCUGUCAGGGACGCCUGUCCCUUCUCUAGACUUAGGUUUCCACCCCAGGAUCCCGUGGCCUUGGUGUCCCCUCAGAGCUGCCUGAGGUUGUUGAUUCACCAGAUUGCAUGCCUGGUGGGGUUCUGUGGUCAGCGGCUGUCGGCCUUCUCAGCUCAGUUCCUUGUCCUGAAGACCUUUCUUCAGGGCACAGCCAGGGCGAGAGCGAGAGCUCCCACACGUGGUGUGCAGAACCUUGUCUGUCUCCUGGCACCGAGGAGUCAUCUGAGGUAGUGUGUUUGAUCAUCCUUGGUGCCCUGUGAUUCUAGGUGAUCUUGUCCAUCUGUCCUGUUUUGUUUUGUUUGACCAAGCUAGCAUGGAGCUUGAGGCAAUCCUCCGGCCUCAGCCUCCCUACACCGGACAUCCUCAUUCAUUGGUGUCUGCCACCAGACUAGUCGUGACUCUUCCAGAGAUAAGGGAACUGAAACCAGAAACUUCCCAGGCUUUGCGGACUAGGGAGAUGGCUCAGUGGCUAAAGCACUCACUGCGUAAGCCUGAGGACCAGAGUUCAAAUCCCCAGGAUCCGUGUGGCCUUGUUGACAGAGCUUCAGAGGAAGAGACCAGAUCCCCUGGAGCAAGCCAGCUGGCUGACUAAACCAGCUAGAUCUGCAAACCCUGGGCUCAAAUGAGAGGCUCUACUUCAGUUCCUAAGGUGGAGAGUGACCAGGGAAGGAAUCUAACACACGCCUGCGGCUGCCACGCACCUGCACGCAUGUCACACCUGCCAACACCUAUGUGACCGCACACGCCUGGAAAAACAAGUUACGGGACUGAACUCGCCUUCCCCACGUGUGGCUCUUCAGAUGCGUCUCUUGGCCACAAGGCAGGCAGGCUGAACUCAGUGUCCCCUUUGGUACCUGCUCUGGACAGAGAAACCAUAGGCGCUUAUGCCUAAGGACUGGGACUCCGGAGCCCAGGCAGCAGCUGGCAGGGUGCGUGAAGCACUCAGUGAAGUGUUCGGUGGUGGAGGGGUGCCAAGCAAGGAGGUGUUUUCUUUCUUUCUUUUUUUUUUUUUAAGAGUUUCAAAGUGGGUGGUUGUUCACGAGAGAAACUUGGGAAAAGUAAAAAAUAAAGCAAAAUAAAAAGCAGAACUCACGCAGCCCAGGCUGGCUGGAAAACCUCCCUCAGGAUUGUUGUUCUCUUCUAGCAAGAGGGUGUGUCAGCUGCUGCUGGUGGUGACUGGGCGUGUGUGUGUGUGUGUGUGUGUGUGUGUGUGUGUGUGUGUGUGUGUGUGUGUGGUGUCAGUGUGGUCAGCCUCCUAGCUCAGCCCCACCUCUCAGCCGAGUGCCAAAGGGACUUGUUGGAGAGGGGGCGGGGUAGGGGUGGGGGGCGCCGCUGGUUUUAUUUCCUUAAGAGCAGAUAUCAGUAACUACCACACCACAGAGCCCAAGCCCGACCUCUGAACGUUACCUCAGCUUCCAGCAGACAUGCACGCACACUUUGCUGUCCACCGAACGGGUGGUGGCGGUGAUGACUUUCCAGUUGUGCAUUAAACGGCUAGCAUUCCCUUAGGGGAAGGUGUUAGCAAGCCUGCCACGGCUGUGGCAGAGUGCCAGUCCAGAGACCCAAGGGCUUGUUUUGGCCACUUAGGUUCAAAGCAGGAGGACCAUCAUGGUGGUGGGAUUGUGUGAUGGAGGAGACUGCUUACCUCAGGGCACCGGGAAGCAGAAGGGUCACGGGAAGAGAUUCAGGACAGAACACACCUCCCAAGAACCCAUUUCCUUUUUCUCUUUCUUUUCUUUUGAGAUUUAUUUAUUUAUAUGAGUACACCGUCGCUGUCUUCAGACACACCAGAAGAGGGCACCAGAUCUGAUUAUAGAUGGUUGUGAACCACCAUGUGGUUGCUGGGAAUUGAACUCAGGACCCCGGGAAGAGCAGCAGUCCAUACUCUUAACUGCUGAGCUACCUCUCCAGCCCCAUCCAAGAUCAUUUCCAGUGAUCUGCUUUCAAUCAGACUCUCCCCACCCCCAACCCCCCC
Rattus norvegicus (Norway rat) is the source of this 37276-nucleotide non-coding RNA. The record is from RefSeq and is a predicted model, not a curated record. NCBI's taxonomy places the organism in Eukaryota, Metazoa, Chordata, Mammalia, Rodentia, Muridae.